This is a non-coding RNA of Nicotiana tabacum (common tobacco), 1442 nucleotides long. Lineage: Eukaryota; Viridiplantae; Streptophyta; Magnoliopsida; Solanales; Solanaceae. The record is from RefSeq and is a predicted model, not a curated record.
CAUUUUUUCAUUGAAUAAAAAACAAAAAGUUUGUUCUCUCACAAACCGAUCUAACUUAUGAAAUUCCGUCACCGACAACCAACUCAUCUUUCUCCAUCGUCGGCACCUUAUCGCUCACUCAGGGUUGGAGUUAAUUGCCCUUCAUCAUUUUUUGAGAAAAGCAAAUUGUCGCCUCCACAUGCUCGAGCCGAUUACGAUUAUGGAUUACCUCAUCAAGCUCCGCACAUACUCAUAAUUACUAAGGUGCUUGGUUGUUUCCUAAUUGAAGUCAUAAAGAGGUACAUUAAUUGAUGAUUAAGAAAGUAUAUUUUAAAAUUUAUCUAUACAACAAUGGUGCGUGAAUUUCUACAGCGAUAUUUUUUCUGCAGGUACAUUAUAUUUUAGGUCAAGAUUAUGUCCCUAAUGUAUUUGAUAUUUUGGUUCAGAGCCGAUGGCGGCACUAUUAGUCUGAGACUGCAGCUAUUGUCUAGGGCAUUAGUUUAUAUUUUACUUUUAAUAUCAUUGUAAUGUUAUUGACUACCUCUACUAUUUGAUUGAAUAUGGUAGGAUGAUUACAAUAGAUUGGGCCCUUGAGCUAUCGUGGGAGGAUGUAUUUAAAAUUUUAAAUUGGAAUUUUCUCUUGUUUGCAAUGCCAAUUAUGAAAAUUCCCCAAAAGAGGUAGCGGGUGAAAUAUUAACAACACUACCACUUUCUACUGUGGCAUUGUAGAAUUUUUUGUCACUCCUCUCAUUAGGACUCUUAGUCGUUGUUAAUCACUCAGUUUCUUUGUUUAAUGGAGGCACAUUCUCCCUGAGCGAGACCAUUCAUUUGUCUUAACUCAGACUGAAAAGAACUGUAGUCAAGCAAAUAGAAUCAAUAGGGCUAAGCAAAAGAUGCCUCACAUGGGAGGAUCCAAAAGCAUAGCAACCUUUAUGAAUGAAAAGGAAAUGACAAAUGAAAGGAUGUGCAAUAGUGAGAGAUUUACUGAGCAACCUCCUCGUAGUGUUGCUUGGGAAGGCGAUGUGUAUUCUCAGAAUAUAAGAUAAUCGAGUUAAAGGAGAAACAAAAUGAAGAAAUGAAUAUGAUGAAACAAAAUCAGAAGAUGAUGCAAUCAGAAUUACUCCAAAUAAGACAACUCAUGCGCAAAUAUGCUCCUCAUGCAUCUAUGCCUCAAAGUAGCAAUGCCACCUCAGAUCCCUGAUGCCAAUAGUGGACAUGAACGAGUACCACAAACAUCAAAGAUUCCUAGUGUUGCUGAAAAUGCCCAACCUUCUCAUGGUCAAACCGUCUGAUGUUGGAUAAUUUAGCGGGUAAAAAAUUUCAAAAUAAUGAAAAGUUGCGGAAAUCAUUUAAAGACCAUCAUUCGUAUGAAUUAAUUAUAUAAUGACAUUAGUUAUUUAGUCUAAACAAUAUAUUUUUAUGUUUUAAAUUACUGUAAUAUUAAUGUUUUUGAUUAGUACUUC